GAUCCUGGCUCAGGAUGAACGCUGGCGGCGUGCUUAACACAUGCAAGUCGAGCGAAGCACUUUACUUGGAUUUCUUCGGAAUGACGAGUAUUGUGACUGAGCGGCGGACGGGUGAGGUAACGCGUGGGUAACCUGCCUCAUACAGGGGGAUAACAGUUAGAAAUGACUGCUAAUACCGCAUAAGACCACAGCACCGCAUGGUGCAGGGGUAAAAACUCCGGUGGUAUGAGAUGGACCCGCG
RNAcentral lists this ribosomal RNA (241 nucleotides) under uncultured bacterium. RNAcentral describes it as "partial 16S ribosomal RNA". It matches the Rfam family "Bacterial small subunit ribosomal RNA", at positions 15 to 235 of the family's 1533-position model. The record is from RNAcentral.